CAGGUGUACGAAAGGAGAGCAGGUUCGCACUCCCCUUGAUAAGGAUGGAAGAGGUCCUAGUGACCUUUACAACAUGCACAGGAUUAAGACAUUACCUCUUACUUUGUGGCAUCUACUCAACUUUAAGC
This 128-nucleotide non-coding RNA is filed under the name Chrysemys picta bellii (western painted turtle). Lineage: Eukaryota; Metazoa; Chordata; Testudines; Emydidae. The record is from RNAcentral.